AUCCUACCGAGGCCACCAUAGACCAGCCAGCCCUCAGCGUACAUGCCAGCUAAUUACAGAUGCAGGAGCAAACCCCUGGCCCAUACAUCAAAACAUACAGUAAACAGAGAAAAAAAAGGAUCUCAGGUGAGAUGAUGUAUGGGAAUGCUCAGCAUACAGAAUGAAUGGAUAAGAGGCCUGAAAACAUAAUCCUGUAAACAACCAUAUUGAAAGAGAAGACAGAAGACAUCAAAGAGAUGGAGUUUCGCUCUUGUUGCCCAGGCUGGAGAGCAACGGCACAAUCUCAGCUCACCGCAACCUCCGCCUCCCGAGUUCAAGCAAUUCUCCUGCCUCAGCCUCCUGAGUAGCUGGAAUUACAGGAUUUUGGAAGCAUUGCCUUCUACAGAAUCCACAGUAGUCCGAAGUUCUUCUACGGUUUUUGUCAAACUUUGAUUUUCCAUCUCUAGCUUCAAUAAUCUACUUGAUGUCAACUCAUUCACCUCAUGGCCCAGGGAUUUCUGCGGUGCUAUAAUAUUGAAAAAUACACCAUUGUAUUUACUCUGUACUGUUUUUACUAUGUUUACUCUUUACUAUUUAAAAAGUUGAGUGUAUAUGCAUUGCAUCAUCUGAUCUUUAACUUU
This 620-nucleotide non-coding RNA is filed under the name Pongo abelii (Sumatran orangutan). Lineage: Eukaryota; Metazoa; Chordata; Mammalia; Primates; Hominidae. The record is from RNAcentral.